GGCGACUCCCGCUGCAGCUCGGCGAACCGGCGGGUUCCGGGCUCCAGCUGCAGCUCGGCAGAUGGCGCGCUCGUUGUUGGUAAAAAUUACCUUCUUCCAAUGAUUCAUGGAUUUACAAUUUUGUUGUGUGUCAGCUCGUUGCGUUGCCGGUAAUAGCUAUGGCUGGACGACAGUGUUGAUAGUACUAAUUACCCUAUCAGCUGGUACUGCUUCAAUCAUGGAGCUGGGUACAUUAUAUAAAAUGCUUUGUUCAGUUAUCUCCUCCAGAUGCUUCAGACUUUAAUUAUAUCACACUGAAAAUAUAUAUGCUUCAUCUUUUGCUGGAUCUCUUUAGUCACUGGUCAGAGAUCUAUAUAUAUGAUGUGCAUCCUGGCAUAUGCAUUUCGUUGGAAAUUGACAGCAUAUAACAUCUUCAUAGAUUAAAAAAAAGACUGACAACAUAUGUUCACUUAGCACAUGGAAUUGAGAGAAUAUAUCACACCGAAAUCACGAACUGAUGCCACAAAAAGGUUGCUUGGUUCAAGUGACAUGAUAAAUUAAUCCGAGUUUACAUCAAGCAAAAAUAUAUAUUUUUCUGAGCCAAUAUCUUUGAAAUUGACAAAUUUCAACACCUCUACGAAUUUAAAAUAGAAUUGAAUGCACUAAAAUUAGAGCUUCUUCCUCUUUGUGGUCAGUUUUUUCUUGCAUGCCGUAGAGCGUGAAGGGAAGUGAGAAGUAGGUGAUGCUGUAGAAUUAACAGUACUUGUCCCAGAUGGCCGUGAUGCAUCGUCUCCAGCUAUGGCCAUAGCAAGCCUCCUGCAUGUUUACACACCAAUGUUAUAAAAGUAGGAUUUUUCUUUUGCAUGAAUCAAAUGUGCAUAUGACAAAUUUAGUAGGAACCUCCUUGUGAUAGGCCCAGGGCUGUUAUGAAGGCUGGGAGGCAGUGUGAUUGUUGUUGUGCGUGUAGGUGUCGCAACAACAACUGGAGCGAGCUCGUGAGCAGACACAUCACUAGAAAGUUCAAUCACACCGGAUGUUAGAAAUGGUUUAAUAGUACUAAUUUGAUACUAAUAUAAAGGAGAUACUAGUGUAUGGCUUACCUCUCUUUAGCUUCAUUUUUUUUGCAAGUUGCUUUCCUGUGCCCCAAUAUCCCACAUUCUUUGCACCUAUUUUUGCUGCCAAAUCUCUUCUUUUCUUUUUCCUUUUCCUUUUCCUUUUCCUUUUCCUUCUCUUUGUCACCUCCUUCUUGGUCAUUUGUUUUGCCAUUAUCAUCUUUUUUCUUUCGUUUGUUGCCACCACCGUCUUCAAGGCAACUUUUGAUUCUCUGCUUCCUCCGUCUCCCAACGGAGCUCUUUAAAUCCGGUGGCACCAUCUCAAAAUCUAGAUUAACAUGAGGCCAUUGAGACUUGUCCGUGAUUGGUUCAAUCUCUCCAGCAUAGGCAGCCCGGAACCUACUCACAGAGUAGUAUUCAUGUACAUAUGGUUGAAAGUUUACAUCUGCCGUCUCUAUAAGGAAUGCAAGUGCAUGCUCACAUGGCUUUCCAGUGUGUUGCCAUUCUAGGCAAGUGCACUCACGGCUGCCUAUCUUCACAACAUGCCUAAGAUUAUUCUUGCUAGUGUCCUUGACCUCACAACUUUCUCCGGUUGAUCUUCCAACAACCAAAUGGUCAAGUUGCCUAGUUCUAUUAUUUAUUUGUUGAAUGAUGGCAGGCAAUAUCUCUCCCUGGAGCAUUUUCCCAAUCCUUCUCCUUCUAUAAACAAGUAUCAUAAUUUUCUCUCUUAUUGCAUCGGCUAGCUCAUCCAUGGGCAGCUCCUUUGUUCCUUUGAUCCAGCUAUUGAAGCACUCAGCUAGAUUAUUGUGAAUGUAAUCACAUUUUUUUUCUGUGUUGAAGUCACAUCUCAUCCACUUUAAGUUAUGAUAGGUACACAAGUAGGUACUCACUGCAGGUUCAUCUUCAAAUAUCUUGCCCAUAUGAUAAUUAAAUGUUUCCAGACGAUAAGCCUUGGCUGCUGGCCACAUGCGACAAAAAACAUCUCUGUGAAACUUCUUUUUGAAGUUUGCCAUUAGAUGCCUAAAGCAUUCCCUUUGCUCAGCUUGAGGGAACACAAUUUUAACUGCAUUCUCUAACCCUUUGCAUGCAUCGGUACAAAUAGCUAGAGUUUGAAGAUGUCCUGUUGCCCUAUGAAGUUGUUGCAUAAACCAAAUCCAGUUACCCUCGGUCUCCGUACCAAAGAAACCAAAUGCUAAAGGAAACAUCCAAUUUUGUCCAUCUAGUGCUGUACAUGCUGCUAAUUGACCAUUCCACUUUCCAGUCAAAAAUGUGGAGUCUAUGCUGACAUAUGGUCUACAACCAGCCAAGAAGCCAUCAAUGCACGGCUUCAGUGCCAUAAAAAAUCUGCGGAAAUGCACUUCACCUCCUUCCCUCUUGACAUCAACCUCGACAAUGCUACCAGGAGAUCUUUUAUCAAUCUCAGCUUUGAAAUUCAAUAAUGACUGAAAGCUUUUCCCCCAUGUCCCAUAUAAACUAUUCUUGGCCCUUCCUUUUCCCUUGUCAACAGUAUGAUACCCAAUAGUACAUUUGUACUCGGCCUGUAGCUUUUUUCGGAGCUUGCUGGCACCAAUGUUUGGUUCAGUUUGAAGAUACCCCAUGGCCUUUUCUGCCACCCAUGCUUGGUCUGCCAUGCUUGUAAUCACUGCAGCGGUUGAUGAACACUUAUGAGAUUUUACUAUCUUGUUUACCUGCAGAAAACACAAUACCAACCACAGGAAGAGCCGCAUCAGCAAGUAAAUCCUCAUAAAUAUCAGCCACACAUGCAUCAACAUUUGCAAUGGAGGCUUUCAUAGCUUCUUCAGAUACAAUUUUCCGAUGCUCAGGUUCGUCAUUGAUGCCAAGCAGCGAGCACAUGUUCUCUUCUGUUAUAGGAACAUCAAUUUCUUCAUCAUUCAUUGGUGCUAUCUCAAUCUGGGACCAAUCAACGCUUCCUUCCAUAGUUGAUACAUAUGUAUCAUUGGUAGCCACCGGCCGAGACCUACUUGGAAAACAAAAGAUUUUUAGUUAUGGAGGGAACAUAAGGGCAUCAUCUAACUAGUUAGCAACUAUUAAAAGUAUGCUACAUGUAUGCAACUGCAGGAAGGUAACGAUAAGGAGGUCUAUCAAAGCCUGCAAUGGUAAAAAAGGUCGUUGACAUCCUGACUGAUUUUGUUAUGUUAGGAAACAAGUAACAGAUUAUUUAAUAUUCAUUUUCCAGUAAAACUAAGUGUAUGCCCAUGUCAUUUGAUUCAUGAUCCUCCUAGAAGUAUUCAUCCACAUGGUUUAAAGAUUUGGAUAAUUUUAGAACUUUAUAAUCCUGAAUCCUGAUAAUUAUGUGUCCAUCAUAUUGUUGCAGUUGCAGGGUUACUACAAGUGUAGCAGCGUUAGGGGCUGCCUAGCGAGGAGGCAUGCCAAGAGGUUCAAACCCUUGAUCCGUGUGGCACUGUGUGUGUUUGGGGUGGGGUGGGCCGGGAGGGAGGGGAGGUAAUAUACUGACCAAUCUGGAGCAGAUCGUGGUGAUCCAUGGACGCAACAGUCGCCUCCCUGUCCGGCAGUCUGUGGGAUCGUCUCAGCGGCCAUCUGUGUGAAGCCUCACUGUGCAGGGGUCGUCGGAGUUGAUGGCUUGGGGGCCGGCGGUGGAUCCGCCUCUCCACUAGCCAUGAACACCACGACACAAGCAACAGAAUCAAUCUAUGAUUUGUUAGUAGUUGGUUCCGUUGGGUAAAGCCAUGUAAAGAAAGUGAUAUGAUUUGUUCCCUGUUAAUUAGUUGCUUCGGUUGGAUACAACCUUGUAAAGAAAAAAGAUCUGUACAGUGUCAAAUUGUAAAUUAGCCACAGGGGCAAUUGUGUCUUUUCGCAUGGAGAAAAAAGGGAUACAAAAUCGAAAAUGAUUACAGUAAUUGAAAAGGGCAAAUCAUCAAAAGAAAAAUGAAAAGUGGGGCAAAUGAUCUAAUCCUAUGUAAAAUGGGGCAAAUCAUCUAAUGCCCAAGUAAAGUGGGGCAAAUGAUCCAAUCUCCCCG
Molecule: long non-coding RNA, 4030 nt
Filed under: Triticum aestivum (bread wheat)
Lineage: Eukaryota; Viridiplantae; Streptophyta; Magnoliopsida; Poales; Poaceae
Description: long non-coding RNA (TAES_LNC022462)
Source: RNAcentral